RNAcentral lists this ribosomal RNA (254 nucleotides) under uncultured bacterium. RNAcentral's name for it is "partial 16S ribosomal RNA". It matches the Rfam family "Bacterial small subunit ribosomal RNA", at positions 524 to 776 of the family's 1533-position model. The record is from RNAcentral.
AACGUAGGAGACAAACGUUAUCCGGAGUUACUGGGCGUAAAGGGCGUGUAGGUGGCUAUGUAAGUCGGGCGUGAAAUCCCACGGCUCAACCGUGGAAGUGCACCCCGAAACUGCGUAGCUAGAGUCCUGGAGAGGAAGGUGGAAUGCUUGGUGUAGAGGUGAAAUUCGUAGAUAUCAAGCGGAACACCGGUGGCGAAGGCGGCCUUCUGGACAGUGACUGACGCUGAGACGCGAAAGCGUGGGGAGCAAACAGG